RNAcentral lists this long non-coding RNA (1979 nucleotides) under Setaria viridis. RNAcentral's name for it is "long non-coding RNA (SVIR_LNC008604)". Lineage: Eukaryota; Viridiplantae; Streptophyta; Magnoliopsida; Poales; Poaceae. The record is from RNAcentral.
CAACAGUGUCCUUAUUAGGCCAUUAUGCAAUGGACAAGACAUUAGGGAACACGAUUUUCCUUCACUGGAGCCACACCCAUGGACCUCAAAUCUAGAAGGUGGAGCCAUUCCAACCAAAGUCUGAGCCCUGCAUCAUCACAUGAUACUCACAAUCAGCAUGAUGCUAAGAUAUCAUCGGAUAAUAAAGAAACUAACACCAUCUACAUAAGCAAGCAGAAAGGGAACAUAUGCAAAACCAGGAAGAUGGCAUGAAACAACAGAUGAUUAUUUACAUGAUCUAUUCUUGAUGCAAAGCAUGCAAACAUUGAGCAUGUUCUUGUGCAGGAUGAGCCUAACAAACAACAAAAUUGAAAUGAGAACUUGGUGAUGGUUAAAAGGACCCAUGAAUCGUAUGUCGAGUCAACAAGAAAUAGUGCCUGCUUGCCUUUGAAUCAUGGAACUUGAGGUAAAAGCGGGACUUGGGAAUGGACAGCUUUGAUUCCAGAAUAGAAGCAACACCAGCACUCAGCUUCUUGUUGACACCAGGGUUCAGCCCUCCAAUGGAAACCAGCUCACCAUAAGCUGCAGGCUCCUGGGUGCCUCCAAAUGCCAUAGGCACUGAACCUUUGAGAACAACCAUCACGUACUGGGAGAGGACAAGCACUCCAGUCAAAUCCUCAAGAUGAUAGUACACAAGCGAAAUGGCUUUGGUUAAAUAUUUCAACCACAGAAAAACAAUAAAAAUCUAAAUUUUCAUCAAUUUAAGUAUAUCACCACAGGUCACCCACCAGAAAUCCAAAGAGUGACAGUAUGAGAAUGAUAAAGGAAAAGCACGCGCCCAAACUAUGUAGCAAAGCAGCUGCCUGACUAACACUAAUAUGAAGUGACCAAUAAACAGGAACUUUCAAACUUCAUCUAUAUCAACUGUUGGCUGCAGUAUUUUAGGGAUAACAUACAGGAAAAGCAGCCCAUGAUCUCCAAGUUUGCACUUGAUAUUGCUGAAGAAUAGUAAAGUAGGGGUUGCUGGUUGCUAGAAAUCUAGUCCAGAAAAAAAAAGUGAGCAGAGACUUUUGUCAGUUAGUUUGUUGUAAAUACAUCUGUUCUCACUUCUCUGCGGCUUGAUAUCAUGUUUCUAUUCAGUAGUCAGAUUGGCAAGAUAGUGAAAUUGAUAGACGAAUGGCUUGAUAUUUCUUUCACUGAGUGACCACAAUGGUUAUUAUAUCAAUCCUAGAUAGGCACUGGGGAUACCGUCUCAGAGACAGACUAUUGAGUUAUCUGGUUCCCUUCGUCAAUGCUGAAUCUGUCAAAAUUACAGGUUCAAAUCAUAUAUGAACUCGAUUCUGGGAGACUGCAAUCAUGUUCUGGGAUUUUUUGGUUGUGUCAUGUAAAUAUCAUCAAAAUUUUCGAGUGAGUGCAGUGAGAAUCAACAUCGGGGUGUCCAUGAUAAACCUAGAGAAUACUCCCCCAAAAUGAAUAAAAGCCUAGAGGUCAAAUUCCCCAAUUGUAGUAUUUAUCAAAGGGGAAUGUUGCGAGAUUUUACUGAUUCACAUGAAUUCUCUUUAAACUACCAUCGGAAAACACGAUUAAUCGAUUGAUAGCCAACAGAAAGGUGACAUGCAGUGAUGCACAUCCUGCUCAAAAUCCUAACAGGUUGCAGGAGCCAAUUACAAAAUGGAAGCAUAAUCUCCACCAACCAAAUAGAUGCAAGAGGAGAGACGUCCUACACAGGCAAUGAAUCGCGUGGGGGGAGAAAGAAGAUGGGGGGAAAGGGAAAGGGAAAGGGAAAGGGAGAGGCGAGGCUUACGGCCUCUGGCUUGCCGAUGGUGUCGGCGACGACCUUGGAGGCUUCGGCGAGGAUGGCGGAGGUGUCCACACCCUCCAGGUUGACGUUCGUCGACACGUUCAGGCACGGCAUCCUCAGACCCUCGCUUCGUCUUCCUCUUCCUUCUCCUGCCUGGGUGCUCCUCUGGCCACAGCCGCCUUCUCCGCCUCUGCUCUGC